This 305-nucleotide ribosomal RNA is filed under the name uncultured bacterium. Its description in RNAcentral is "bacterial SSU rRNA". It matches the Rfam family "Bacterial small subunit ribosomal RNA", at positions 338 to 641 of the family's 1533-position model. The record is from RNAcentral.
CCUACGGGAGGCAGCAGUGAGGAAUAUUGGUCAAUGGUCGAGAGACUGAACCAGCCAAGCCGCGUGAGGGAUGAAGGUACAGAGUAUCGUAAACCUCUUUUGUCAGGGAACAAAGGCGGGGACGUGUCCCCGGAUGAGUGUACCUGAAGAAAAAGCAUCGGCUAACUCCGUGCCAGCAGCCGCGGUAAUACGGAGGGUGCGAGCGUUAUCCGGAUUUAUUGGGUUUAAAGGGUGCGCAGGCGGCCUGUUAAGUCAGCGGUAAAAGCCCGGGGCUCAACCCCGGCGAUCCGUUGAAACUGGCGGGG